CUGAGACUACCGCAUUACCACUACCGUCCUUGGGAAAGGUUAUAGCGAAUAGACUAUAUAUUGCUUUAUUAUAUAGCACAAUUAAGCAAUCAAUGCUCAAUGGCUGUUGGAAGAAAUUGUGGGCAAAUGUAGUUAAAGGUAAAGCUUCCAUUUCACCAUUAAAGGAUGAAUAUUCUCAGAUAGUACAAUUGGCGCAUUCAUUGGGUGAAGAAGGUUUUGAUGAUUUUACUGAAGGAAAUAUUGCAGAAGUAGUGGCUGAUAAAGAACUAGGUGAAAAUGAUUUAAUUAAUAUGGUUGAUGAAACUAGUGAUUGUGACAAUGAUCCUGAU
Molecule: long non-coding RNA, 329 nt
Filed under: Androctonus crassicauda
Lineage: Eukaryota; Metazoa; Arthropoda; Arachnida; Scorpiones; Buthidae
Source: RNAcentral